This 465-nucleotide ribosomal RNA is filed under the name uncultured bacterium. Its description in RNAcentral is "partial 16S ribosomal RNA". It matches the Rfam family "Bacterial small subunit ribosomal RNA", at positions 28 to 507 of the family's 1533-position model. The record is from RNAcentral.
GACGAACGCUGGCGGCGUGCUUAACACAUGCAAGUCGAACGGUAAGGCUCCAGCUUGCUGGGGUACACGAGUGGCGAACGGGUGAGUAACACGUGGGUGACCUGCCCUGCACUUCGGGAUAAGCCUGGGAAACUGGGUCUAAUACCGGAUAGGACCGCACCUACGGGGGGAGGUGGAAAGUUUUUUCGGUGUGGGAUGGUGCCGGGGCCUAUCAGCUUUUUGGUGGGUUAAUGGCCUACGACGGCGGCGACGGGUAGCCGGCCUGGGAGGGUGGACGGCCACAAUAGGACUGAGGGACGGCCCAGCGUGCUACGGGAGGCAGCGGUGGGGAAUAUUGCCCAAUGGGAGGACGCCGGAUGAAGAGGCGCUGGGUGGGGGAUGACGGCCUUCGGGUUGUAAACUCCUUUCGCCAAAGACGAAGGGUUUCUGACGGUAGAUGGAGAAGAAGCACCGGCUAACUACGUG